GACGAACGCUGGCGGCGUGCUUAACACAUGCAAGUCGAACGGUGAUCCGCUUUCGGGCGGGGAUCAGUGGCGAACGGGUGAGUAACACGUGGGUAACCUGCCCUGCACUCUGGGAUAACUCCGGGAAACCGGGGCUAAUACCGGAUACGAGCCUGGUCUGCAUGGACCGGGUUGGAAAGUUUUUCGGUGCAGGAUGGACCCGCGGCCUAUCAGCUUGUUGGUGGGGUAAUGGCCCACCAAGGCGAUGACGGGUAGCCGGCCUGAGAGGGCGACCGGC
This 277-nucleotide ribosomal RNA is filed under the name uncultured bacterium. RNAcentral's name for it is "partial 16S ribosomal RNA". It matches the Rfam family "Bacterial small subunit ribosomal RNA", at positions 28 to 308 of the family's 1533-position model. The record is from RNAcentral.